AUUGAACGCUGGCGGCAGGCCUAACACAUGCAAGUCGAGCGGAUGAAGGGAGCUUGCUCCUGGAUUCAGCGGCGGGCGGGUGAGUAAGGCCUAGGAAUCUGCCUGGGAGUGGGGGAUAACGUCCGGGAACGGGCGCUAAUACCGCAUACGGCCUGAGGGAGAAAGUGGGGGAUCUUCGGACCUCACGCUAUCAGAUGAGCCUAGGUCGGAUUAGCUAGUUGGUGGGGUAAAGGCCUACCAAGGCGACGAUCCGUAACUGGUCUGAGAGGAUGAUCAGUCACACUGGAACUGAGACACGGUCCAGACUCCUACGGGAGGCAGCAGUGGGGAAUAUUGGACAAUGGGCGAAAGCCUGAUCCAGCCAUGCCGCGUGUGUGAAGAACGUCUUCGGAUUGUAAAGCACUUUAAGUUGGGAGGAAGGGCAGUAAGUUAAUACCUUGCUGUUUUGACGUUACCAACAGAAUAAGCACCGGCUAACUUCGUG
Molecule: ribosomal RNA, 484 nt
Filed under: uncultured bacterium
Lineage: Bacteria
Description: partial 16S ribosomal RNA
Rfam family: Bacterial small subunit ribosomal RNA
Source: RNAcentral